This 253-nucleotide ribosomal RNA is filed under the name uncultured bacterium. RNAcentral describes it as "partial 16S ribosomal RNA". It matches the Rfam family "Bacterial small subunit ribosomal RNA", at positions 524 to 776 of the family's 1533-position model. The record is from RNAcentral.
GACGUAGGGCGCGAGCGUUGUCCGGAUUUAUUGGGCGUAAAGAGCUCGUAGGCGGCUUGUUGCGUCAGCUGUGAAAACCCGCAGCUCAACUGUGGGCUUGCAGCUGAUACGGGCAGGCUUGAGUUCGGUAGGGGAGACUGGAAUUCAUGGUGUAGCAGUGAAAUGCGUAGAGAUCAUGAGGAAGACCAGCGGCGAAGGCGGGGCUCUGGACAGUUCCUGACACUGAGACACGAAGGCCAGGGGAGCAAACGGG